RNAcentral lists this ribosomal RNA (497 nucleotides) under uncultured bacterium. RNAcentral describes it as "bacterial SSU rRNA". It matches the Rfam family "Bacterial small subunit ribosomal RNA", at positions 802 to 1298 of the family's 1533-position model. The record is from RNAcentral.
GUAAACGAUGAGUGCUAAGUGUUGGAGGGUUUCCGCCCUUCAGUGCUGCAGCAAACGCAUUAAGCACUCCGCCUGGGGAGUACGACCGCAAGGUUGAAACUCAAAGGAAUUGACGGGGGCCCGCACAAGCGGUGGAGCAUGUGGUUUAAUUCGAAGCAACGCGAAGAACCUUACCAGGUCUUGACAUCCUUUGACCACUCUAGAGAUAGAGCUUCCCCUUCGGGGGCAAAGUGACAGGUGGUGCAUGGUUGUCGUCAGCUCGUGUCGUGAGAUGUUGGGUUAAGUCCCGCAACGAGCGCAACCCUUAUUGUUAGUUGCCAUCAUUUAGUUGGGCACUCUAGCGAGACUGCCGGUGACAAACCGGAGGAAAGGUGGGGAUGACGUCAAAUCAUCAUGCCCCUUAUGACCUGGGCUACACACGUGCUACAAUGGGAAGUACAACGAGUUGCGAAGUCGCGAGGCUAAGCUAAUCUCUUAAAGCUUCUCUCAGUUCGGAU